RNAcentral lists this long non-coding RNA (4730 nucleotides) under Homo sapiens (human). RNAcentral describes it as "HSALNT0122708". The record is from RNAcentral. Lineage: Eukaryota; Metazoa; Chordata; Mammalia; Primates; Hominidae.
GUAACACAUGGCUUUUUCCUUUAGGAAUGAGAGUGGGCUCCAGCCAGCCCUGCAGGAGCUACUUCCCCCUGUUCUUACUUAACCAGAGCCCCGGUUGGGCGCUUGGCCUAAUCACUCAUGAGCAGGAGCCAAGUUCAUCACUUCCUGACUCUUCAGCUUUGAACACCUUUGCAUCUUCAGUGAAACUUCUGGAUUUCCAGGUGACAAUCUCCAUCCUGGGCCUGUCUCAGUGGUGGAAAUAACAUGGCACGGAAUCACCCUGCGUUCCCCCAGGAGCACACCCCUGAAAGGUCCUGGCAUGUGUUCCCGGCCUCUGGACAUUUUCAGCCGUUAUACAGGAACACACCGAAAAUCAACUGUGCGCAUUUGGCCUGUAGACAAGAAAGUAACACCAAAACUUGAUGUUCCUGGCUAUGCAGACUCCUUGAGUGACGCCUGUGGGCAUAUUACAGAUGAGGAAGUGAAGCCCCAAGGCCCAGAAGAACUGGGAGGAUCGACACCACCCGGGUUGGGUGACCAAUCACCCAAUUUGCCUGCGACUGUCCCAGAAAACCUUCCCAGCAUAGCUGGGCACCCUCAUUGAAAGGAGGAGGCUGCACUGCUAAGGGGAGGAGGAGCACCUACAGAUUCAUGCACUGCCUUGCUGGGAAAGCCAAGGACACCCCUCCAUUGCAGGAUGUGCUCCCAGCAAUGCUGUUCUGGAGCCGUUGCUGAACACCCAAAAGAAGACCCAGGAAACUCUACAUCUACUGAGAACCUAUGGAGAAACAACCAACACUGCACGCACUGGGAGCCCCUGAAUUUAUUGUAUUUUCCUCAAGGUUAACAUAGCUUUUAACAUUUUACUUUUUUAAAAAAAUUUCUUUUAUUAUUUUUUAAAGAGAAAGGAUCUUGCUUUGUCACCCAGGCUGAUGCAAGCUCAGUGGUAUGAUCAUAGCUCACUACAGCCUUGAACUCCUGAGCUCAAACAAUCCUCCUACCUUCACCUCCCAAGGAGCUGGGACUACAGGCCCGUGCCACCACACCUGGCUCAUUUCUGUAUUGUAGAGAUGGGGGUCUUGUUAUGUUGCCCAGACUGGUCUCAAACUCCUGGCCUCAAGCAAUCCUCUUGCCUCAGCCUCCCAAAGUGUUAGGAUUACAGCUGUGAGCCACUAUGCCCAGCCAGCAUAGCUUUAAAAGUCCAAAAGGUGAAAUAAAACUAAAUCAUAAGAGGCAAAGUCCAUAUAAUUUGAUGUUCGCAUGCCAUAAUAUACACGAAAGUGUAUUUGCUAUGAAGACAAUAUAACCUCCAGGAUCCAUGCAUAGCAGAAAAGUGCCAUCUAACCAGGCUUAUUAGAAAAAUUGUAAUUCAUUUCCCAAAUCGCAAAUGUCUCCUGUGACCACAGGUCUACUCUCAACACAAAUGAGUAGACAGGGCAAACUUCUAGGAAAUGCAGUUGGUUAAUGCCUUCAAAAGAAUGAAUCAUUGGUCCAGGUGAGGCCACCUUGGCCCCCUGCACCUGAGUCUCCCUGAUGAAUGCUGAACAGAGGCCAGGAGGGCAGGUCGAUCACCCAAUUCCUGCCCUCCUAGGGCAGGCUUUCUUCAGAUUUGUUGUGGUUCUGUGAUAAAGCGUCAAGUGUAGGAAGGCUCUGGGAUCACCGGGCAUGGUAGUGAUAAUGAGACUGAGGGGAACGUGGUUUCCAACGUAGGACUCAGCCAAGGAACUCAGGGCCCAGCUUUCAGCCCGGGAGCAUCUUGUAAACGGCUCGGGGCAUCAAAACCUCAGAAAUGCCACAUAAAUAUUAAUUGCCUAGAACUUUCCAGGGUGGAUAAGGCAGGCCACACGACUCAGACUAAUCCAAGAAACAAUCAAAACCUGGACUUUUGAAUGCCCUUUGAAGCAGCUGACAGAUGGCUGAGACUGUGCGAGAAACACAAGCCCGGCUCCCGCCCUGGCUAGCACUUUACAGCCACGGUGACCUUUCCUCCAAGCAUGCCUGGGCCUCGCACGGCACCAACGCCCACGGCUUCAUCCAGGCCCGGCCUCUCUCUCUCCGUGGCCUGUGCAUUUCUCCCCACUUUCUUUCUCACAGCACAACUUCCUCUGUUCUUUCGGGCUAGUCAAAACUUAUUUUUUUUUUCCUUUCUGUAAGGCAGAGGAACGCAUUCUCAGAAGCCAAAAGUCCCAAUGUUAUUAUCUCCUCCGCUUGCUGGUUGUGGACCUCGGGCCAGCUUUCAGCAUCUCUGGGCCCCAGGCCCUUCAUGACUCUGCACAAGAUGGAGAGGGUAAAAGAAAAAGAUACAGAAACCAGUCACUGAGAUGACUUUUAUAAAGCAGUGAGUACAGAGUGUGGUCAUGGCCUUCACAGGAUCCCAGUCGGUGCAAUUCAAAAUGCAUGAAAGGCUCAAAUGAGAUAGACAAUCGUCUCCAACCUUAAUGUAAAGUCACUUGGAUAGCAAUGGAAAAUUGCAGAUUCAUAGGCUGAAAAAUGUGAUUCAAGAUACAGAUGUCCUAUGGACCUACAUUGAGAAACAGCUUUAGAAUCUCAGAAAUGUACCCUGGGAUCAGUAGAGUGACAGAGCUGAUCCCAAUCGCACUGCUUCAGACUCCUCCAGAGAGCCUUCCGAUGAUCAGCCCUUGAAAUCGGUGGCUGUCAUGUGUGUGGGGCAGACAGGAUGCCUCGGAGCUGCACUUCAAGAGCCAUCUUCAACAGAAUUUGUGCUCAUUUUUAUGACCCCUAUUUAGCCAUUCACCCCAAUUUCUUCACUUUUCCCUCAUUUUACAUAAGUACACACAUUCAUCAACACAUAAAUUCCACAGGAAUAAAAAAGCAUAAAGAAAACCAAAGAGCCUUAAGUAAUUUCUAAUUGCCCCUAUCCUGAGGAGAUGGCAUAAAACUUGCCAUAUCCCUUGCCAUCUGGGUAAGGAGACUUUUCUCCCCAGCAUCCAUGGGUGGGCUGUGCAUUCAAUGAUGACUGGCUAGCAUCUUUGCUGGCUGAUGUCUCAGGGCCACAUCACACAGCUAUGAAUGCCCCACCCUCACACUGGGACAAGCUCUGGGGAGCUGACCCAAGAGCCAUCACAAAUGGCCCCUGGGGAGCUCAGAGAGCCACCGAAUCAGUGGGCGCUCAGGCUGUUCUUGCACAGGGCAACAAAGUUGUGACCUCUGGGUGUCCACAGGGACUCAUCCCUCCAGGCAGUGCCUUUCACAGCAAGGCUGCCGGCCGGGUGUGGGGCCUCCUCCAUUCUCAGUGCCCCGAGGCUUCUGAGUGGGAGAUCUGGAGAGCUGUCUCCCUUCUCCAUUGUGCCAGCAGUCCUACAUGAGAGUAGCUUACCCAGCGUCUCCUGGGUUACCUGCUCUCUACGGAGCACACAGCUUGUGACCUGGGGAUGAGCACUUCUUGUGCCCAAACUGAUCCGUGUCUAAGUCCAGGCCCUGUGUGACCAAGCCAAGCGACUCACUCCUCUGAGCCUGGCCCACUUUAUAUAGAAAGUGAGGAUAAUCUUUAGCACCGAAUGCUUGGGUACAAGUGAAAACAUAAGCUUAGGAUCUGGAAAUAAUCACUCAGAAAAUAAAAUCUUUGCCGGGCGCAGUGGCUCACGCCUGUAAUCCCAGCACUUUGGGAGGCCGAGACAGGCGGAUCAUGAGGUCAGGAGAUCGAGACCAUCCUGGCUAACACAGUGAAACUCCAUCUCGACUAAAACCACAAAAAAUUAGCCGGGCGUGGUGGCGGGCGCCUGUAGUCCCAGCUACUCAGGAGGCUGAGGCAGGAGAAUGGCAUGAACCCGGGAGGCGGAGCUUGCAGUGAGCCGAGAUCGCGUCACUGCACUCCAACCUGGGCGACAGAGUGAGACUCCGUCUCAGAUAAAUAAAUAAAUAAAUAAAUAAAAUAAUAAAAUAAAAUAAAAUCUUUUUCCAACCUCCCAAUUAUUAGCAUAACUCCCCACACCCACUAGGAAUGGGCAGGGACGGAGGGUCAAUCCAUUACUGAAUCAUGUCAGAAUUGAAACACGUCUCAGAAGCCAUCUGGCCCAAGCAGCCCUUUAAUCUAGGAAUUCCAUUGCAGGGGCCAGGUGGGCAGUAAUGUGCAGACCAGCACAAGACCAAAAUGGAGAAGCCGGGGAAAUCCAGAAAGUGCAUGCUCUGCCCAAGGGACUUCAGAUUCCGUAACUGUCCAACAUUAGGCUGGAAUGCAAGCAUGUACGAGUGAAUGAAUGAAUGAAUGAAUGAAUGAAUGAAUGAAUGAAUAAGACUGGCGGCUUCCGUGCCAGCUGAGGGCCAUGAGUUUGUGAUGUGUGCUCUGUGGGGCCCCAAAUGGAUGAUCUUCCAUCCUCUCCAUGGACCAGUAGAAACUGUGGGUUAGGGUGGAACUGAGCUUGGGUUACAGUGGGGUUUAGAUUCCACCUGUCAUCAUCACCAAGGAGCUGAGGACUGGAGCUGGCACCUACCAUGCAGGAGGCUGACUUUCUCACCUGUGGACUGGAGCCUUCAUCUGCCACUCUGGUCAGCACAUGUGAGAGACACAGUGACGCCGGCUCUCUCUCAACCCACUCCCAUGUGACCGCCUCGCAGCUCCUGCCCACAGGCAAGCGUGUCCCUGGAUCUACGCUGCACCUCCAACCCUCUGGCCCCAUUGAAAUGCGCACACACAGUCGCCAUCACCUUUCUCAGUCUCGCAGCCCCUGUGCCGGAGCGGAUGGCGUCCAUCAAGGCUUGCCUUGCGUCUGCGGUGUUGCUGAGGGUGCCCG